AGUGAACGCUGGCGGUAGGCCUAACACAUGCAAGUCGAACGGCAGCACAGUAAGAGCUUGCUCUUACGGGUGGCGAGUGGCGGACGGGUGAGGAAUACAUCGGAAUCUACUUUUUCGUGGGGGAUAACGUAGGGAAACUUACGCUAAUACCGCAUACGACCUACGGGUGAAAGCAGGGGAUCUUCGGACCUUGCGCGAUUGAAUGAGCCGAUGUCGGAUUAGCUAGUUGGCGGGGUAAAGGCCCACCAAGGCGACGAUCCGUAGCUGGUCUGAGAGGAUGAUCAGCCACACUGGAACUGAGACACGGUCCAGACUCCUACGGGAGGCAGCAGUGGGGAAUAUUGGACAAUGGGCGAAAGCCUGAUCCAGCCAUACCGCGUGGGUGAAGAAGGCCUUCGGGUUGUAAAGCCCUUUUGUUUGGAAAGAAAAGCAGCAGGUUAAUACCCCGCUGUUCUGACGGUACCCAAAGAAUAAGCACCGGCUAACUUCGUG
RNAcentral lists this ribosomal RNA (492 nucleotides) under uncultured bacterium. RNAcentral describes it as "partial 16S ribosomal RNA". It matches the Rfam family "Bacterial small subunit ribosomal RNA", at positions 29 to 507 of the family's 1533-position model. The record is from RNAcentral.